UCUCCUCGCCUGUUUGCGGUGCUGCUACUAUCGUUGCUCUCGCCAAAGCCCGAAUAGCAUGAUGUAGUGAAGAGAAUAUGCCAGACAUUAUAGGUCCGGUUAGGAGAGCUAGAAGUAUCCAAGAGAGGAGUCAUAUGCUAUUGCGCAAAUAUGAGGUACCAUUAUUGCUUGUUUGUUUGGAGGUAAUUGGUGGGAUAGAAAGGGAAUUUAGACUCGAGAGAUAAAUUUUGUUUUGGCGGGCAUGAGAGUUUUAGUGGGAUGAGGAAUGGAAGUUUAGAGGAACAAUUCCAGCCAAUCACUUCCCAAGGAGAAGGUACCAAUUGGGUGGGAAUUUAUUUUUAGUGGAAAAUGGAUGCAUCUACACCGUUAAUCAUAACUUAAGAUAUAAUUUACUACCUCUAAACCUCCACACCAAACAAAACAAAGGAUACGAAGUUUCACUUAAACUCCCAUACUAAUUCCCUUCCGAAGACAAACAAGAGAAUGGAACUAAAAAUCAUAUUCCCAAAAUAAUUUUCCUCCACCAACUCCGAUCCCACCACUAAUUCACAUGUCCCUUUUCUAUUAGUUGCCAAACGCACCCUUAUGACUUCUUGAUCCGUUUACUUUUAGCAGGUGAAACAUGCCGAAUGGACAGAAGUAAACUCCAUUGGCAUGAGAGUUUUAGUGGGAUGAGGAAUGGAAGUUUAGAGGAACAAUUCCAGCCAAUCGCUUCCCAAGGAGAGGGUACCAAUUGGGUGGGAAUUUAUUUUUAGCCGAAGAUGGAUGCAUCUACACCGUUAAUCAUAACUUAAGAUAUAAUUUACUACCUCUAAACCUCCACACCAAACAAAACAAAGGAUACGAAGUUUCACUUAAACUCCCAUACUUAAUUCCCUUCCGAAGACAAACAAGAGAAUGGGACUAAAAAUCAUAUUCCCAAAAUAAAUUUCCUCCACCAACUCCGAUGCCACCACU
RNAcentral lists this long non-coding RNA (957 nucleotides) under Setaria viridis. RNAcentral describes it as "long non-coding RNA (SVIR_LNC000031)". The record is from RNAcentral. Lineage: Eukaryota; Viridiplantae; Streptophyta; Magnoliopsida; Poales; Poaceae.